UCCAACUUCAUCAACCGAACCACCAUGAGCCACCCUAGAGAGGAAUCGAACCACCGCAACUCAGUGAGGAAGAAGCUAGGGAUUCGGUUCCCGUUACCACCUUGUCACGAUGAGAAAGGAGAGGAAAUUGAGGCCAUCACACCUCAAUACCAUUGCUGAUUGGAAAGAGAGAAGUAAGAAGAGAUGAGUGAUGAAAACCAAAGAGAUUGGGAAGGAAUGAGGACCUUUUUUCGGCCGUGAAUGAGAACCGAACCACCGUAAGCCCCGAUGAUUCUUAAUCACCGCUACCGCAACGCUUCAAGCCGAGACACCACCGAAGAAGAGAAAAGAGGGAGAUUUCGUUCGAUGCGUCUCGAAGAGAAAGGGAUUCUCUUCGUCGAUCCCCUCCAACANN
Molecule: long non-coding RNA, 394 nt
Filed under: Lupinus angustifolius (narrow-leaved blue lupine)
Lineage: Eukaryota; Viridiplantae; Streptophyta; Magnoliopsida; Fabales; Fabaceae
Description: long non-coding RNA (LANG_LNC003782)
Source: RNAcentral